CUGGGGUAGAAAGGUAGGCCUACUGUCUGGGGUAGAAAGGUAGGCCUCCUGUCUGGGGUAGAAAGGUAGGCCUCCUGUCUGGGGUAGAAAGGUAUGCCUACUGUCUGGGGUGGAAAGGUAAGUCUACUGUCUGGGGUAGAAAGGUAAGUCUACUGUCUGGGGUAGAAAGGUAUGCCUACUGUCUGGGGUAGAAAGGUAUGCCUACUGUCUGGGGUGGAAAGGUAAGUCUACUGUCUGGGGUAGAAAGGUAAGUCUACUGUCUGGGGUAGAAAGGUAUGCCUCCUGUCUGGGGUAGAAAGGUAUGCCUCCUGUCUGGGGUAGAAAGGUAUGCCUCCUGUCUGGGGUAGAAAGGUAGGCCUACUGUCUGGGGUAGAAAGGUAAGUCUACUGUCUGGGGUAGAAAGGUAAGUCUACUGUCUGGGGUAGAAAGGUAGGCCUACUGUCUGGGGUAGAAAG
Oncorhynchus tshawytscha (Chinook salmon) is the source of this 455-nucleotide long non-coding RNA. NCBI's taxonomy places the organism in Eukaryota, Metazoa, Chordata, Actinopteri, Salmoniformes, Salmonidae. The record is from Ensembl.